This 375-nucleotide ribosomal RNA is filed under the name uncultured bacterium. RNAcentral describes it as "bacterial SSU rRNA". It matches the Rfam family "Bacterial small subunit ribosomal RNA", at positions 523 to 898 of the family's 1533-position model. The record is from RNAcentral.
AUACGAAGGGGGCUAGCGUUGUUCGGAAUUACUGGGCGUAAAGCGCACGCAGGCGGCUCGUUAAAUUAGAAGUGAAAGCCCUGGGCUCAACCCGGGAAUUGCUUUUAAGACUGGCGAGCUUGAAUCCAGAAGAGGGUAGUGGAAUUCCAAGUGUAGAGGUGAAAUUCGUAGAUAUUUGGAAGAACACCAGUGGCGAAGGCGACUACCUGGUCUGGCAUUGACGCUCAUGUGCGAAAGCGUGGGGAGCAAACAGGAUUAGAUACCCUGGUAGUCCACGCCGUAAACGAUGAGUGCUAGUUGUUGGGGUGCAUGCACUUCAGUGACGCAGCUAACGCAUUAAGCACUCCGCCUGGGGAGUACGGCCGCAAGGUUAAA